UACGUAGGGGGCAAGCGUUGUCCGGAAUCAUUGGGCGUAAAGAGCGUGUAGGCGGUUCGGUAAGUCGGCUGUGAAAGUCCAGGGCUCAACCCUGGGAUGCCGGUCGAUACUGCCGGACUAGAGUUCGGAAGAGGCGAGUGGAAUUCCCGGUGUAGCGGUGAAAUGCGCAGAUAUCAGGAAGAACACCAAUGGCGAAAGCAGCUCUCUGGGACGGUACUGACGCUGAGACGCGAAAGCGUGGGGAGCGAACAGG
This 253-nucleotide ribosomal RNA is filed under the name uncultured bacterium. Its description in RNAcentral is "partial 16S ribosomal RNA". It matches the Rfam family "Bacterial small subunit ribosomal RNA", at positions 524 to 776 of the family's 1533-position model. The record is from RNAcentral.